GGGCCUCAAGUCCACUAACAGAUACAAUACUCAAAACUUUUGAUGCUUUCUCUUAUCAUAUAAUUAAAAUGUAGCACACAACGACUACUGGAUUUUGGGAGGCAGACCAAUGCAUCAUACGAUUGGAAGAUAGAAUAUAUCAAAGCACAACAAAAGUGAAAAAGAUUAAAACAUUGUUUGUAUCAGCUAAAAAUUUCAGAACGCACUAAAAAUUUACAGUAACUGUCAAUUAUUAUACAUUUACCCUAUGCUACACGGACCGAUGGCUUCAUUCCCUACUCCAUAUCUCAAUUAUGUCAAUGCAUAAAUUCGGCAGAACUUAAAAGUAAUAUUUCAUGUUCAAAGUUCACAGGGAUGAUAAUCUUCAACUGCAUCAAUACUGUCUUUGAACCUAACAAGAUGAGGAAAAUAAAGAGUUACGAUCUAAACCUACAGUAUAGCAAAUAUAAAAUACAAAAAUCAUUUUUUUUCCAGCAAAAAUUAUCAAAACCCCAAACACCUGGCAUAACCAAAAAUGCUUAUUACAAAGUUUAAGCUGCAAAAGUGCAAGGUCUCUAGCAGCCAUUUAGAACAGUAGAUGCCAACAUAUUUAAACAUCUCAAGAAAUCUUUUAACCAAAAUCCCCGCCCUAAAAGAAGACGAACAAUGGUGGGGAACUGGGGAUUGAGACAAGGAGGGCACAGGCCUCCUUCCAACAACCACAACCACAACCACCACCCCCCUUGCACCUUCACCCUCCACACCGUACCCCUUAGUUAGAGAAUUGCCACUGUAGAAAAAAGAACUACUUAUAUUCACAAGGGAAGAGACUUCAAAUACUUUUUGGGUAAUAUUUACUCCAUCAGUAAGCUGGGUAAUAUUUACUCCAUCAGUAAGCUGGAUAAUAUAGAUGGAAGCUAUCUUGUAGUUUAUUUACUCCAUCAGAAACACAAGACAAGGCAGGAGGGGCAGAUUACUUGCAGUAAGCUGAAUGAUAUUGGAGCCACUAGCAAAGUGUCCAUUUCAUCAAAAGUUUGUCAGAGUAGGAUAUUCACACAAGUUUGCUACACAAGAAGCGCACGUUCUGUUUAUGAAAGGAAAACCUCUCAGUGAGUUACGAACACACCCAGUUCACAAAUGCUGUAAUAACUAUAUGUAAUCACAUUUCAAGGAUUUGAUAUUUCUAAUACUUAACAACAUCAUCUUCUCAAGUCAGUUCACCCCAUACAUGAAAUGCACAACCAAAAAUACAAAAACUCCAAUCACAUUGACCAGGCCCAGCUAGAAGACCAAUUGAUUGUAAAUGGAGUUAUGCAACAACCAGUGACUCUACUUCAUCCCAUCAUCUUGCAAAUGAGGGAAACCAUUUAAACUCGCAGCCCAUAAGAAAUAAUUGAACUAAUUAACAGGUGAAGUGGUAAAAGAAACUAUGCAAGUGUAUCUCCAGGGCCUUAUUAUUUGCACACUGGUCACUUGUGCAUAAAGCCAUAAACCAAUAAAAUAACAACACAACCAUUCAUUUCCUUAAUAUUAAUUUGCGUAAUAAAACCAUUAAGAUUCACAGUGCAAAUGACUCACCAUAAAAAAAAAAAAAUGCAAUUCAUACACAUCUUUACCACUGAUGAUGCUCCAUUUUGGGGCCUACUCUCCUAAAUAUUAACCAAUAAUAGUUGUUGCUCAUCAAUUGGACAAAAGGCCUAGACAUGCAGCUUUCAAAAGACUGAACAUAACUAGAUCUCCAUUAUUUGUCCUCCUUUUUCACUGCUAAAACCACAAUAUUGAGAAUUGCAUAGAGAAUGAACUGCCUGGUAAAAAACUUCGCUCUGCAUGGACAAAGUUUAAAUCUCUUUUUUGGACAACAUUUUUUACAAAUUGUUCAAUUCCAUACAAGGGCUUGUAAGGGAGUUACUUUCCACAUUCACUAUAGCAGUAACAAUGCAGAUUACAUAUAUCUUUUAACUCAUAUAACCUUCUCUCUACAAACAAAGCAUAUAUAAGAUCACCAAAAUUGACAGGAUAAUGAACUUGGUAGAGCCAAUUCGCACAAAUAACACACACCAAAGUCUCCUGGUCUUUUCAAUGUGCCACAUGGCAAGUGAAAAUAACCUCCUUUCUUCCCUCAAAUCAACUAUACUUUCAUCUAAAAUAAAAUUAUUGGAACAAAAGGAUAGAAUAGUUCAACGCUAGGAGACGGAGUAACAGCAUAACGUCAAAUAGCAGUUCUAGUGCAUUAUCAAAACCUAUAGAGCAGAAGGAAGAACCCAAAUUACCAUGAACCCAGAAAAAACCUUAAAGCCCACCACACAAUCAAGAGUCACCAAGCAACAGAAAAAUGUAAAAUUCAAAAAAAAAUCAAUAGAUUCUUUUAACAAAUUAAACAAAGCCCAAAUUUUUAACAUUUGAUAAUAAGCCAAAAAUAAUAGAAGCUCAGACACAAAACACGACGACAGUCGAAAAAAAAAGGGGAGCAAAGAAAAGCCUUCAAUUCUGCAGUUUCAAAAUCCUAACAAAAAAUGGUUGAAGCAUAAGCAUGUACGCGUAAACGAGACCUGAAGGGAAAAAGAAGUAACCUUUUGGGGAGAAACCAGCUCUCAGGGAACUGCACAAGCAUGAGAAGAAGACCAUGAAAAGUGAGAGCUUGAAGGUUAAUCGAAGCGCACAUCUUCAACUGUAUGACACCUAGUUGUGUAGAGAAAGGGGGAAAAGAAAAAGGUUCAAUCUAAAAGAGAAGGAUAUGGGCUGAAGGAAAGUGAAGAGGAUGGUGGCUUUUGUGGAGAUAGAGGUGAGUGGGGUAGGGCUUAAAAAUUGCACGACAACCGAGGCUGGCAGUGCAGCGAGGAGGAUUUGGGACAAUGGGGGGGUGGCUUGGUUGCGUAUCCGAGGUGUCUUUCGUUGUCUGUUUGAAUAUGAAAUGAACCCCCGGCCUCUCUCUUUCUUGUUAUCUUC
RNAcentral lists this unclassified non-coding RNA (2925 nucleotides) under Hevea brasiliensis (rubber tree). The record is from RNAcentral. Lineage: Eukaryota; Viridiplantae; Streptophyta; Magnoliopsida; Malpighiales; Euphorbiaceae.